UCAAGAGUUUGAUCCUGGCUCAGGACGAAAGCUGGCGGCAUGCCUAACACAUGCAAGUCGAACGAAAAGUAGCAAUAUUUUUAGUGGCGAACGGGUGAGUAACACUUGAGCAACCUACCUUAUACAUCGGGAUAACGCCUAGAAAUGGGUGCUAAUACCGAAUAAGACCACAGUAUGACAUCAUACAGGGGUCAAAGUUCAGGCGGUAUAAGAUGGGCUCGAGUCCAAUUAGCUAGAUGGUGAGAUAACAGCCCACCAUGGCGACGAUUGGUAGCCGGCCUGAGAGGGUGAUCGGCCACACUGGAACUGAGACACGGUCCAGACUCCUACGGGAGGCAGCAGUGGGGAAUAUUGGGCAAUGGGCGAAAGCCUUACCCAGCAAUGCCGCGUGUGUGAAGAAGGUCUUCGGAUUGUAAAGCACUAUAUUGGGGAAGAACACAAUGACGGUACCCAAGAGAAAAAGCCCCGGCUAACUAUGUGCCAGCAGCCGCGGUAAUACAUAGGGGGCUAGCUUUGUCCGGAAUUACUGGGCGUAAAGGGUGCGUAGGUGGUAGUGUGUGUUGGAAGUGUAAUCCCUCGGGCUUAACUCAGGGGCUGCUUCCAAAACUACAUUACUUGAGUAUCGGAGAGGAAAACGGAAUUCCUAGUGUAGCGGUGAAAUGCGUAGAUAUUAGGAGGAACACCAGAGGCGAAGGCGGUUUUCUGGACGAUAACUGACACUGAGGCACGAAAGCGUGGGGAGCGACUGGGAUUAGAUACCCCAUUAGUCCACGCUGUAAAUGAUGGGUACUUGACGUUGGGAGUAUCAACUCUCCCAGUGUCGUAGCUAACGCAUUAAGUACCCCGCCUGGGGAGUACGAUCGCAAGGUUGAAACUCAAAGGAAUUGACGGGGACCCGCACAAGCAGCGGAGCAUGUGGUUUAAUUCGAAGCAACGCGAAAAACCUUACCAAGACUUGACAUCGUAUGAUCAUCAUAGAAAUAUGGUUUCUCUUCGGAGCAUAUAGACAGAUGGUGCAUGGUUGUCGUCAGCUCGUGUCGUGAGAUGUUGGGUUAAGUCCCAAAACGAGCGCAACCCUUAUCGGUAGUUGCCAAUAUUUAGUUAGGAACUCUGCCGAGACCGCCGCUGUAAGGUGGAGGAAGGAAGGGAUGACGUCAAAUCAUCAUGCCUCUUACGUCUUGGGCUACACACGUGCUACAAUGGCCAUUACAAAGAGCAGCAACAUGGUAACAUCGAGCAAAUCUCACAAAAAUGGCCUCAGUUCAGAUUGUGGGCUGCAACCCGCCCACAUGAAGUAGGAGUUGCUAGUAAUCCCGAAUCAGCAUGUCGGGGUGAAUGCGUUCCCGGGUCUUGUACACACCGCCCGUCACGCCAUGGGAAUUGGUAGUACCCAAAGUCGGUGAGCUAACCGCAAGGAGGCAGCCGCCUAAGGUAAGACCAGUGACUGGGGUGAAGUCGUAACAAGGUAGCAGUACCGGAAGGUGCGGCUAGAUCACCUCCUUU
This 1503-nucleotide ribosomal RNA is filed under the name Firmicutes bacterium ADurb.Bin080. Its description in RNAcentral is "bacterial SSU rRNA". It matches the Rfam family "Bacterial small subunit ribosomal RNA". Lineage: Bacteria; Bacillati; Bacillota. The record is from RNAcentral.